This 452-nucleotide unclassified non-coding RNA is filed under the name Hevea brasiliensis (rubber tree). The record is from RNAcentral. Lineage: Eukaryota; Viridiplantae; Streptophyta; Magnoliopsida; Malpighiales; Euphorbiaceae.
AAAAAAAAAAGGUCCCAAAGAACAACCACUGCAGAUAGUUAUAUAUAUGCACGUACAAUUACAGAUAGAGGCGCUGCAUAAGUAACUGUGAUCAUUCCAACACAUAAAAGUCCUACAAAGGUGAGCCGCAGGUGUCCGUGCAUCGCUAGAAGAGUUGCUAUUAUCAUCGUCCGAAGAAAUACAACAUUACGCCACCAGCUUCGCCGUCUUCACCUGAAUAAAUUAACACCACCACUUCUUAGAAAGAGAGCGACAUAGAUGAACUGGAAAGCAGCUCAAGUUCCAUUCACAGUCACCGCAAGCAAACCGUCUGGCUACAAAAGUCCAUAGAAAGUCCACAAACUUGUUCCCAGUAAUUGAGUAAUGUAGGGAACCGCUGUGUAAUUCUCCAGCGAUUUUUUUCUUCACGACCCUCCAAAAGGUCUUUCUGCAAACAGAAUCAUGAAGCGCAU